Molecule: ribosomal RNA, 612 nt
Filed under: Hamigera avellanea
Lineage: Eukaryota; Fungi; Ascomycota; Eurotiomycetes; Eurotiales; Aspergillaceae
Description: eukaryotic LSU rRNA
Rfam family: Eukaryotic large subunit ribosomal RNA
Source: RNAcentral
AUAUCAAUAAGCGGAGGAAAAGAAACCAACAGGGAUUGCCUCAGUAACGGCGAGUGAAGCGGCAAGAGCUCAAAUUUGAAAUCUGGCCCCUCCGGGGUCCGAGUUGUAAUUUGCAGAGGAUGCUUCGGAUACGGCCCCCGUCUAAGUGCCCUGGAACGGGCCGUCGGAGAGGGUGAGAAUCCCGUCUGGGACGGGGUGUCCGUGUCCGUGUGAAGCUCCUUCGACGAGUCGAGUUGUUUGGGAAUGCAGCUCUAAAUGGGUGGUAAAUUUCAUCUAAAGCUAAAUAUUGGCCGGAGACCGAUAGCGCACAAGUAGAGUGAUCGAAAGAUGAAAAGCACUUUGAAAAGAGAGUUAAACAGCACGUGAAAUUGUUGAAAGGGAAGCGCUUGCGACCAGACUCGCCGGCGGGGUUCAGCCGGGAUUCGUCCCGGUGUACUUCCCCGCCGGCGGGCCAGCGUCGGUUUGGGCGGCCGGUCAAAGGCCUCCGGAAUGUAUCGCCCCCCGGGGCGUCUUAUAGCCGGAGGUGCAAUGCGGCCUGCCCGGACCGAGGAACGCGCUUCGGCACGGACGCUGGCAUAAUGGUCGUAAGCGACCCGUCUUGAAACACGGACC